This 492-nucleotide ribosomal RNA is filed under the name uncultured bacterium. Its description in RNAcentral is "partial 16S ribosomal RNA". It matches the Rfam family "Bacterial small subunit ribosomal RNA", at positions 29 to 507 of the family's 1533-position model. The record is from RNAcentral.
AGUGAACGCUGGCGGUAGGCCUAACACAUGCAAGUCGAACGGCAGCACAGUAAGAGCUUGCUCUUACGGGUGGCGAGUGGCGGACGGGUGAGGAAUACAUCGGAAUCUACUUUUUCGUGGGGGAUAACGUAGGGAAACUUACGCUAAUACCGCAUACGACCUACGGGUGAAAGCAGGGGAUCUUCGGACCUUGCGCGAUUGAAUGAGCCGAUGUCGGAUUAGCUAGUUGGCGGGGUAAAGGCCCACCAAGGCGACGAUCCGUAGCUGGUCUGAGAGGAUGAUCAGCCACACUGGAACUGAGACGCGGUCCAGACUCCUACGGGAGACAGCAGUGGGGAAUAUUGGACAAUGGGCGCAAGCCUGAUCCAGCCAUACCGCGUGGGUGAAGAAGGCCUUCGGGUUGUAAAGCCCUUUUGUUGGGAAAGAAAAGCAGCAGGUUAAUACCCCGCUGUUCUGACGGUACCCAAAGAAUAAGCACCGGCUAACUUCGUG